Molecule: ribosomal RNA, 466 nt
Filed under: uncultured bacterium
Lineage: Bacteria
Description: partial 16S ribosomal RNA
Rfam family: Bacterial small subunit ribosomal RNA
Source: RNAcentral
GACGAACACUGGCGGCGCGCCUAACACAUGCAAGUCGAACGAGCGAGAGAGAGCUUGCUUUCUCGAGCGAGUGGCGAACGGGUGAGUAACGCGUGAGGAACCUGCCUCAAAGAGGGGGACAACAGUUGGAAACGACUGCUAAUACCGCAUAAGCCCACGACCCGGCAUCGGGUAGAGGGAAAAGGAGCAAUCCGCUUUGAGAUGGCCUCGCGUCCGAUUAGCUAGUUGGUGAGGUAACGGCCCACCAAGGCGACGAUCGGUAGCCGGACUGAGAGGUUGAACGGCCACAUUGGGACUGAGACACGGCCCAGACUCCUACGGGAGGCAGCAGUGGGGAAUAUUGCACAAUGGGGGAAACCCUGAUGCAGCGACGCCGCGUGGAGGAAGAAGGUCUUCGGAUUGUAAACUCCUGUUGUUGAGGAAGAUAAUGACGGUACUCAACAAGGAAGUGACGGCUAACUACGUG